Molecule: ribosomal RNA, 377 nt
Filed under: uncultured bacterium
Lineage: Bacteria
Description: bacterial SSU rRNA
Rfam family: Bacterial small subunit ribosomal RNA
Source: RNAcentral
UAAUACGGAGGGUGCAAACGUUGCUCGGAAUCAUUGGGCGUAAAGCGUACGUAGGCGGUCCUUUAAGUCGGGUGUGAAAGCCCAAGGCUCAACCUUGGAAGUGCAUUCGAAACUGAAGGGCUUGAGUACGGAAGAGGGUCUCGGAAUUCCCGGUGUAGAGGUGAAAUUCGUAGAUAUCGGGAGGAACACCAGUGGCGAAGGCGGAGACCUGGGCCGAUACUGACGCUGAGGUACGAAAGCGUGGGGAGCAAACAGGAUUAGAUACCCUGGUAGUCCACGCCGUAAACGAUGAGCGCUAGGCGUUGGGGGUAUUGACCCCUCCAGUGCCGCAGCUAACGCGUUAAGCGCUCCGCCUGGGGAGUACGGCCGCAAGGCUA